CUCGGCCAUAUUGUCCUGUCACAGCAGUAAGUUCAAUCUACUGCUGUAGCCGGACAUGCCGGUUGAG
Non-coding RNA from Heliconius melpomene (postman butterfly), 67 nucleotides. NCBI's taxonomy places the organism in Eukaryota, Metazoa, Arthropoda, Insecta, Lepidoptera, Nymphalidae. The record is from Rfam.